CCUGUUGAUGAUGAGGAUCUGGUUUUACUAAUCCUUAAUGGUUUUCCUGAUGAAAAUAAUGCAUUCAAAACUGCAAUCAGAACUAGAGUUGAAACCAUUUCUAUUGGUGAGUAAUGUUCUCUGUUAAAUUUUGAAU
This is a small nucleolar RNA of Camellia sinensis, 136 nucleotides long. RefSeq annotates it as small nucleolar RNA Z247. The record is from RefSeq and is a predicted model, not a curated record. NCBI's taxonomy places the organism in Eukaryota, Viridiplantae, Streptophyta, Magnoliopsida, Ericales, Theaceae.